This 86-nucleotide ribosomal RNA is filed under the name Klossiella equi. Its description in RNAcentral is "small subunit ribosomal RNA". The record is from RNAcentral. Lineage: Eukaryota; Apicomplexa; Klossiellidae.
CAAGGUUGAACACAGGCUGAGUCUCUAUGCCUUGAGUGGAGCACCGGAUUGGAUACCCGGGCAACCGGCGCUUCCAUAUCGAAGAA